AAUGCCCCGUAUGAUUCUCGCUUUAGGUGCAAAAAGUCCUGUGUAAACAUUUUGAACUACAAUAACUAUUUAAGCCACUACAUAGUCCUUUUACAUAUUUAGAAUAAAUUUUCCUCCUGAGUCAGGUAAAACAUUAUAGGCAGCAUCUACUUGCAAUCUGACAAGAUUAUGUACCUGUAUCUUUUACAAUAUUGCAGCCUUGUCAUCUUAAAUUAUGACAAACCCAAGAAAGUUGUCGCAUACACUUAAGUUUGAUGGUGAAAACAAAAUUAUUAUCCGAUUUGCAUCGAAUAGGCAUUAAAAUCAGUAGUUUAAAUUACAGCUGUUUUUAGGAAUGAAUAGAGUACAAUCGAUUUUGUUUUUUUCAGUUUAUCUUAAAUUUCAGACAGUCUGAAUCAUACAACCUUUAUAUCGCUUCAUCGCGUUUACUUACAUGGUUGCAUAAAUCGCUAGCUAGGGCACCAACUAGUUAUCAUUCAGGAUUAAUAGGGCUUAAUUGGAUUAGAAAUUUUACAUGUUAUUUUUCAAUCUUGUAUAUAUAUACACACACACAAAGCUUUUCAAAAUUUUAUAUGUACUUUUUCAAGCUUAUUAGUUGAAUUGGAUUAAUAAGUAAAAAUUUUCAAAUACUUCCAAAAUGUGACCCAUUUUGACUGCCUUUGGCCGAUUACAGAUUUUAGGUCAGCCAUAGAUCACCGAUUAAUCGUCAACUAAUCCUGAUUUUACUUAUCACCUCAUGAAGUUAAUAGUUCUAGAGGAUGCAUAUAUACAUAGCAACUGAUUUCACAAAUCCUAACUUAGUUUGUGCUGCUGCUAAAUAUAAACAAACAAUGAUGAAUAAUAUAAGAAAAUACACUCUAGAGAAUGAAUAUACCUAAUUUUGCUGUGUACGAAUCCACAUAAUACCUAAUUUUGCAACUAAUGCAUUAUUUAUCAAACACAACGUUAAACAUAACCUAAUAAUAUUUGAAAAUUGAAAAUAACUAGUUAACUUUUAGCAGAAAAUUGAGGCAUUAAAGAUGAAGAUGAAGUGAUUCUAACCUUUUACGUCGAUUGCUAUGCGAUUGUAGCCGGAGGAUAUCUGCAGAUAGCUCGUUUUGUUGUGGAAAAUAAAAAUGAUUUUGAGG
RNAcentral lists this long non-coding RNA (1127 nucleotides) under Helianthus annuus (common sunflower). Its description in RNAcentral is "hypothetical non coding rna". Lineage: Eukaryota; Viridiplantae; Streptophyta; Magnoliopsida; Asterales; Asteraceae. The record is from RNAcentral.